Molecule: ribosomal RNA, 910 nt
Filed under: uncultured crenarchaeote
Lineage: Archaea; Thermoproteati; Thermoproteota
Description: bacterial SSU rRNA
Rfam family: Archaeal small subunit ribosomal RNA
Source: RNAcentral
UCCGGUUGAUCCCGCCGGACCUGACUGCUAUCGGAUUGAUACUAAGCCAUGUGAGUCAUUGUAGCAAUACAAGGCAGACGGCUCAGUAACACGUAGCCAACCUACCCUAUGGACGGGGAUAACCUCGGGAAACUGAGGAUAAACCCCGAUAGAUCAUUAUGCCUGGAACGGUUUAUGGUCCAAAUGAUUCGUCGCCGUAGGAUGGGACUGCGGCCUAUCAGCUUGUGGUGAGGUAAUGGCCCACCAAGGCUAUUACAGGUACGGGCUCUGAGAGGAGUGGCCCGGAGAUGGGUACUGAGACACGGACCCAGGCCCUAUGGGGCGCAGCAGGCGAGAAAACUUUGCAAUGUGCGAAAGCACGACAAGGUUAAUCCGAGUGGUUUCUGCUAAAGGAACCUUUUGUUAGUCCUAGAAACACUAACGAAUAAGGGGUGGGCAAGUUCUGGUGUCAGCCGCCGCGGUAAAACCGGCACCUCAAGUGGUCGGAUGAUUAUUGGGCCUAAAGCAUCCGUAGCCUGCUCUGUAAGUUUUCGGUUAAAUCUGUAUGCUCAACAUACAGGCCGCCGGGAAUACUGCAGAGCUAGGGAGUGGGAGAGGUAGACGGUACUCGGGAGGAAGUGGUAAAAUGCUUUGAUCUCUCGAUGACCACCUGUGGCGAAGGCGGUCUACCAGAACACGUCCGACGGUGAGGGAUGAAAGCUGGGGGAGCAAACCGGAUUAGAUACCCGGGUAGUCCCAGCCGAAACUAUGCAAACUCAGUGAUGCAUUGGCUUGUGGCCAAUGCAGUGUUGCAGGGAAGCCGUUAAGUUUGCCGCCUGGGAAGUACGUACGCAAGUAUGAAACUUAAAGGAAUUGGCGGGGGAGCACCACAAGGGGUGAAGCCUGCGGUUCAAUUGGAGUCAACGCCGGA